GAGCCCUGGAAGAUAGCGGCCCAGCAGAAUGGAGAGCAGGGCUGGCUAACCUGUUGGCCAGGCUGAUAAUGACAGAAGACAAUACCACUCUUCUGACAGCACUGUGGCUUCACAGUAAAGGAAGAAGUAGAUGAUGACUGUCCCCAGAACCAGG
Long non-coding RNA from Gavia stellata (red-throated loon), 154 nucleotides. RefSeq lists it as uncharacterized. Lineage: Eukaryota; Metazoa; Chordata; Aves; Gaviiformes; Gaviidae. The record is from RefSeq and is a predicted model, not a curated record. The transcript has 3 exons.